AUUCAGGCGCUUGGCCGAACGACACCUACUAGGGAGUCAGCAGUGAUGGAUUUAAUCCAUAAUCGAAAGCCAGACAUGACAUCGUUUUUCGUUUCCCGUUGUAAACCGGUGCCUUUUCUCCCCUCCCCUUCGAGGGGACAUGGACCCUAAUGAUACGAGGGGGGGAGGGAAAGGUUAACGGUCUACCAUAGCCCUAAACCCGGCAUGGACCGUGGGCGGCGAACCUAACAGCAUCCCGGGUUUGGGAAUUUAGGUCAGGGCGUUAUAACCCGUAUUGUAAAAACAUCGCCUCUUGCAAAACUUAAAAAUAAGAGGUCCCGCCUGCCCUGUGACUAUUAGUUUAACGGCCGCGGUAUUUUGACCGUGCGAAGGUAGCGCAAUCACUUGUCUUUUAAAUGGAGACCUGUAUGAAUGGCAUAACGAGGGCUUAGCUGUCUCCUCUUUCAAGUCAAUGAAAUUGAUCUUCCCGUGCAGAAGCGGGAAUAACCUCAUAAGACGAGAAGACCCUAUGAAGCUUUAGACACCAAGACAGAUCAUGUUAAACACUCCUUAAUAAAGGACUAAACCAAAUGACCCCUGUCCUAAUGUCUUUGGUUGGGGCGACCGCGGGGAAACAAAAAACCCCCACGUGGAAUGGGAGCACCCCCUCCUAAAACUAAGAGCUCCUGCUCUAGUUAACAGAAUUUCUGACCAAUAAGAUCCGGCAAUGCCGAUCAACGAACCGAGUUACUCUAGGGAUAACAGCGCAAUCCCCUUUUAGAGCCCAUAUCGACAAGGGGGUUUACGACCUCGAUGUUGGAUCAGGACAUCCUAAUGGUGCAGCCGCUAUUAAGGGUUCGUUUGUUCAACGAUUAAAGUCCUACGUGAUUUNCUCAAAAACCAGCGAGAAAAUUUUUUUGAAAAACCCGGGCANUACNAGCCCUUCCCAGCCGAUAUACCGCCAUUCGCCAGGCUUACCCCUGUGGAGGUGACAAAAGUUAGCUUAACGGGCACAUCCCAGAACGUCAAGUCGAGGUGUAGCGUACGAAGCGGGAAAAAAUGCGUAUAUUUUGUGCAAUAGAACACUACGGACAUGUGACAUGAAAUAGCGCUAGAAGAGGAUU
RNAcentral lists this ribosomal RNA (1103 nucleotides) under Perca fluviatilis (European perch). RNAcentral describes it as "partial 16S ribosomal RNA". The stretch from base 1 to 985 matches the Rfam family "Bacterial large subunit ribosomal RNA", at positions 1680 to 2925 of the family's 2925-position model. Lineage: Eukaryota; Metazoa; Chordata; Actinopteri; Perciformes; Percidae. The record is from RNAcentral.